UUGUUUUCUCUCUCCAUCUCAUUCCCGAUAGCAAGCAACAUAUAGAUAAAUAACAUUCAUACGCAUUGAUACGAGCAAGUGGUUCCCAUGGAGUAUCAUGGAUGUAAGGGGUGCUAAUACCUUCCCCUUAUAUAACCGACUUCUAAAUCCUCUCUUUGUUGCGAGACCAUUCUUCAUUUGGGGUUUUAUCACUAUUUUCC
Molecule: long non-coding RNA, 200 nt
Filed under: Lathyrus oleraceus (garden pea)
Lineage: Eukaryota; Viridiplantae; Streptophyta; Magnoliopsida; Fabales; Fabaceae
Description: Pisum sativum (pea) long non-coding RNA (PSAT_LNC040684)
Source: RNAcentral